UGGUGGGUAGGAUCGGGGAGCUAGCCCUGCCUCGCACCCUUAACGGGCUACAAAGGGGGUCAGUAACCUCUUGGGUGGCCGGGGGAAGCGUGGCGUAAGGCGCGAAGCCCUCCGGCGAUGUCCUGCCCCGCGGGGCCGGCGGCUGCGUCGCACGCCCUCGUAGGGGGGCGCGCGUGCAUUCGACGGGCGAACCUGGCCAGGCCCGGGAGGGAGCAACCUAAGUCUGAACGUUUGGCGCUCGCGGGAACUCGGGACGGAGGGGGGUGACGCGGACCUGCGUCGCGCCAUCCCGAUUGCCCAUGGGAGCCACCA
RNAcentral lists this signal recognition particle RNA (312 nucleotides) under Candidatus Bathyarchaeota archaeon. Its description in RNAcentral is "signal recognition particle sRNA". It matches the Rfam family "Archaeal signal recognition particle RNA". Lineage: Archaea; Thermoproteati; Candidatus Bathyarchaeota. The record is from RNAcentral.